Molecule: ribosomal RNA, 50 nt
Filed under: Fusarium lateritium
Lineage: Eukaryota; Fungi; Ascomycota; Sordariomycetes; Hypocreales; Nectriaceae
Description: partial 28S ribosomal RNA
Source: RNAcentral
UUGACCUCGGAUCAGGUAGGAAUACCCGCUGAACUUAAGCAUAUCAUAAA